Molecule: ribosomal RNA, 431 nt
Filed under: uncultured bacterium
Lineage: Bacteria
Description: bacterial SSU rRNA
Rfam family: Bacterial small subunit ribosomal RNA
Source: RNAcentral
CCAGUCGAGAAUUUUUCACAAUGGGGGAAACCCUGAUGGAGCGACGCCGCGUGGAGGAUGAAGGCCCUUGGGUUGUAAACUCCUGUCAUAAGAGAACAAGAAAGUGAUAGUAUCUUAAGAGGAAGAGACGGCUAACUCUGUGCCAGCAGCCGCGGUAAUACAGAGGUCUCAAGCGUUGUUCGGAUUCAUUGGGCGUAAAGGGUGCGCAGGCUGUGUGGUAAGUCAGGUGUGAAAUUUAGGGGCUUAACCCCUAAACUGCACUUGAUACUGUCAUGCUAGAGGACUGUAGAGGAGAUUGGAAUUCACGGUGUAGCAGUGAAAUGCGUAGAUAUCGUGAGGAAGACCAGUGGCGAAGGCGAAUCUCUGGGCAGUUCCUGACGCUCAUGCACGAAGGCUAGGGGAGCAAACGGGAUUAGAUACCCCCGUAGUCC